ACCAUAAAGUACCAAAGACAGUAGGAGCAUUUAUUUGCGUAACUAAAUUCCUACCGAGGACAAAAGAUUCAUUAAUGGGAUUUUAAGGUCUUCACGUCUUUGAUGUGAGGACUUUUUAAUUA
Molecule: small RNA, 122 nt
Filed under: human gut metagenome
Description: Ribosomal protein L10 leader
Rfam family: Ribosomal protein L10 leader
About the family: This family is a putative r-protein leader autoregulatory structure found in B. subtilis and other low-GC Gram-positive bacteria.
Source: RNAcentral